RNAcentral lists this ribosomal RNA (344 nucleotides) under Polyangiaceae bacterium LLY-WYZ-15_(1-7). RNAcentral's name for it is "bacterial SSU rRNA". It matches the Rfam family "Bacterial small subunit ribosomal RNA", at positions 1192 to 1533 of the family's 1533-position model. Lineage: Bacteria; Pseudomonadati; Myxococcota; Polyangiales; Polyangiaceae. The record is from RNAcentral.
CUCAUGGCCCUUAUGUCUGGGGCUACACACGUGCUACAAUGGUCGGUACAAAGCGCAGCGAAGUCGCGAGGCGGAGCAAAUCGCAAAAAGCCGGCCUCAGUACGGAUUGCAGUCUGCAACUCGACUGCAUGAAGUCGGAAUCGCUAGUAAUCGCUGAUCAGCAGGCAGCGGUGAAUACGUUCCCGGGCCUUGUACACACCGCCCGUCACACCAUGGGAGUCGAGUGCUCCAGAAGUGGCUGUGCCAACCCUCACGGGAGGCAGGUCCCCAAGGAGUGCUCGGUAACUGGGGUGAAGUCGUAACAAGGUAGCCGUAGGGGAACCUGCGGCUGGAUCACCUCCUUU